GGGGAUGUAGCUUAGAUGGUAGAGCGCUCGCUUGGCAUGCGAGAGGUCUUGGGAUUGAUACCCCAUUCCUCCA
RNAcentral lists this transfer RNA (73 nucleotides) under Zostera marina. It matches the Rfam family "tRNA". From Rfam's summary of the family: Transfer RNA (tRNA) molecules are approximately 80 nucleotides in length. Their secondary structure includes four short double-helical elements and three loops (D, anti-codon, and T loops). Further hydrogen bonds mediate the characteristic L-shaped molecular structure. tRNAs have two regions of fundamental functional importance: the anti-codon, which is responsible for specific mRNA codon recognition, and the 3' end, to which the tRNAs corresponding amino acid is attached (by aminoacyl-tRNA synthetases). tRNAs cope with the degeneracy of the genetic code in two manners: having more than one tRNA (with a specific anti-codon) for a particular amino acid; and 'wobble' base-pairing, i.e. permitting non-standard base-pairing at the 3rd anti-codon position. The record is from Rfam by way of RNAcentral. Lineage: Eukaryota; Viridiplantae; Streptophyta; Magnoliopsida; Alismatales; Zosteraceae.